This 443-nucleotide ribosomal RNA is filed under the name uncultured bacterium. Its description in RNAcentral is "partial 16S ribosomal RNA". It matches the Rfam family "Bacterial small subunit ribosomal RNA", at positions 28 to 507 of the family's 1533-position model. The record is from RNAcentral.
GAUGAACGCUGGCGGCAUGCCUAACACAUGCAAGUCGAUCGGUAAGGCUCUUCGGAGUACACGAGAGGCGGACGGCUGAGUAACGCGUAGGAACACACCCUGCAGUGAGGGAUAAGACACCGAAAGUUGUGCUAAUACCGCAUACGGUCUUCGAAUUAAAGCAUUUAUGCGCUGAAGGAGUGGCCUGCGUCAUAUUAGAUAGUUGGUGAGGUAAUGGCUCACCAAGUCGAUGAUGUGUAGCAGGUCUGAGAGGAUGAUCAGCCAGACUGGAACUGUGACACGGUCCAGACUCCUACGGGAGGCAGCAGUGAGGAAUAUUGCACAAUGAGCGAAAGCUUGAUGGAGCAAUGCCGCGUGCAGGAUGAAGGCCGUCGGGUUGUAAACUGCUUUUAUAAGAGAAGAUUAUGACGGUAACUUAUGAAUAAGGGACGGCUAACUACGUG